CCCUGCGGAUGCUAACGCAAUG
Molecule: non-coding RNA, 22 nt
Filed under: Arabidopsis thaliana (thale cress)
Lineage: Eukaryota; Viridiplantae; Streptophyta; Magnoliopsida; Brassicales; Brassicaceae
Source: RNAcentral